UACGUAGGGUGCAAGCGUUGUCCGGAAUUAUUGGGCGUAAAGAGCUUGUAGGCGGUUUGUCGCGUCUGCUGUGAAAGUCCGGGGCUCAACUCCGGAUCUGCGGUGGGUACGGGCAGACUAGAGUGAUGUAGGGGGAGACUGGAAUUCCGGGUGUAGCGGUGGAAUGCGUAGAGAUCCGGAAGAACACCGGUGGCGAAGGCGGCCCGCUGGGCAGAGACUGACGCUGAGGCGCGACAGCGUGGGGAGCAAACAAG
Molecule: ribosomal RNA, 254 nt
Filed under: uncultured bacterium
Lineage: Bacteria
Description: partial 16S ribosomal RNA
Rfam family: Bacterial small subunit ribosomal RNA
Source: RNAcentral